GCCCUAGUAGCUCAGCCUUAAAGCGCCGGUCUUGUAAUCCGGAGAUCGGGGGUUAAAGUCCCCCCUAGUGCC
Molecule: transfer RNA, 72 nt
Filed under: Platytroctes apus (legless searsid)
Lineage: Eukaryota; Metazoa; Chordata; Actinopteri; Alepocephaliformes; Platytroctidae
Description: tRNA-Thr
Rfam family: tRNA
About the family: Transfer RNA (tRNA) molecules are approximately 80 nucleotides in length. Their secondary structure includes four short double-helical elements and three loops (D, anti-codon, and T loops).
Source: RNAcentral